UACAUAUUUUCGAGAUUUACUGCAUUGAAACCAAGCGUUCGAUUGCUUGACGUCACUUCGUGAUCGACAUCGAUGAAACGCUUGCUUACGCUGUAGAUGUUAUUUUCUGUGCAAAUACAAGCGUCUAUUGAUAACGAAACAAUAAUUUGUCAACAAUGAGAAUCAGAUACUUGGCUUAAUAAUUUUCAUUUAAAAUGUCUAAUUUGGAUAUAAUUCGGAAUACAAAACGAAACUUAAAAGGUAUUGAAAACAACAACGUUCAAAAGAACAAUGUGGAUUUCAAUAGAAAGACUAUUUCCACCGACAAUCAGGAUUUCCGGAAUGACCACUGUUAUUUUGACGAUUUUUCUAUCGGUUCGUCGGUAAGCGUGACCACAUGUGACAACAGCGAUGCUUGUUGGAUAUAAAAUUGGUAGACGUGUCGUUGAACUCGACACAUUGACCGAAUCGCUUUUAGCAUGCAGUGCUUGUCAAGUGCCCAUGAAUUUACUUAACACUGUAGAAAGCAGGGAUUUCGGACAGGCAUGUGUUUUGGACAUACAGUUUAGCAAUUGUGGUGCAGUAAAUAAUGUGGCUACUGGACGGAAACAUGGCAGAGUUUAUGACAUGAUCACAAAGCUUGCAUUUGGGUAAAUCAAAAACUGGGUGUUUCACCUGGGACUUUCACAUCGAAACUGGCCCUUCUCCAUGACCUUCAGCACAAAAAAAGAAAGGCUAUAACUGUUACUCGUGCAGCAAAACAGUGACGCAUAAGACUUAAAACUCGAACGGCAUUCAAAGGACAGUGCAAGAAGUACAAGCGGGACCAACAUACAGUUCAAACAUAGAGGACCAAGACGUUGAAGUUACAACUAUACCCCCACCUAUACCCAAGCCUGGUCCAGCAGGGCUAGACACUACUGGGAAGGAAUUUGUUUUCUUUGAUUUGGAAACAAGAGGGUUAGAGCACACUUCUCACAUAAUUCAGAUAGCUGCAGUGCAUUCAACUGGUCAGAAGAUUUCCUUGCAAGCGUCAGAAAUAACUGGAGUGACAGUUGUUAGCGACUCUAUGCUUGUCAAGAGACAAACAGUAACAGCUGUCCCCAUCAAAUCUGCAUUGACAAGUUUUAUAACAUUCUUACAGAAAUGUUCACCAAUUAUUUUAGUUGGGCAUAAUAUAGAGUCUUUUGAUUGUAAAGUGUUGCUCCGUGCUAUCCAUACUUGUUGAAAAAUGUUUGAGUUUCAGCAAAAUAUUUGUGGCUUUUUAGAUACUUAAAAAUGUUAAAGGAAAUAUUACCAAAUAUGAAAUCAUAUUAGCGGGAACAUUUAGUUAAAGACGUCAUUGGUGAAUUAUACAUGGCACAUGGCUCUAUACAGGAUAUUUUAGCUUUACAAAAGUUAGUGAACUCUGUUCCUCUUGACCAAAAAUUGUUAACAAAUAUUCAUUCAGCUUUUACCGAGCAGUGUUAACAUACAAUGUGUAACUAAAUGUUGCUUCCAACAUCAAAUCUUUACAAACCAUAAUUGAUACAAAAGUUAUAAGUCAAGGUGUUGCAAGGAAAGUUGCAGGAAGUGGAUUUCAACUUAAACAUUUGAGUCCUGUAUCAAAAAGAAACGGACUGAGUGGUUUGAGGAGCCCCCUUUCAGAGGUUACAAACGGACAAAGCAGAGUAACAAAAUCAGAGAAAAUAAUAUGUACAAUAGCGAGUUAUUUGUUGCCUGACAUCUAACCAAUUGUAAUUUGCAUCUUGUAUAUAGAUAAGCUAUGAAAUCUAAAAGCUGUUACAUCAUUGUUUUUCCUUCUCGAUGACGAACAUAGUUGUGAUUCUUAUGUCAGUUGUAUUUCUCAUGUUUCACCUAAGUUGUAAGAUAUUUUUGGCAGUGCAUUAAACCACAGAUGGUGUGUGAAACAUAAUUGCCCAGCUUAUUGUAUUCUUUGUUGUUUUAAGCUUCACUGGCCAAAGGCCAGCGGGGCUUAUGUUAUGAUUCUGUGUCCGUCGUGCGUGCGUGCCUGAACGUUUCCUUUAAACAUCUUCUUCUCCUAAACUACUGGUCCAAUUGUGAUGAAAUUUCUCAGGAAUGUUCCUCUUUCAACGUUGUUCAAAUUAUGCCCCUGGGGUCAAAUUUGACCCUGCCCCGGGGUCACAAAAUUUAACGUAUGCUUAUAUAGGGUCUAUUUUGUGAAAACUUCACAUAUUUUUUCGUCCAUAACCAUUGGGCCUUGGGCUUCCAAAUUUGGUAUGUAGUGGCAUCUUAUAGUCCUCUACCAAGUUUGUUCAAAUUAUGCCCCUAGGGUCAAGUUUGACCCUGCCCUGAGGGUCACAAAAUUGAACAUAUGCUUAUAUUAGGCAUUUUUUGUGAAAACUUUAAAAAUCUUCUUGUUCAUAUUAGUAUGGCAUAGGGCUACCAAAUUUGGUAUGUAAUGACAUGUAAUAGUUCUCUACCAAGUUUGUUCAAAUUAUGCCCCUUGGGUUAAAUUUGAAACUGCCCCGGGGGUCACAAAACUGAACAUAUGCUUAUAAAGUGCUUUAUUGGUGAAAAAAAAUUGUCCAUAUCUAUUGGGCCUAGGGCUACCAAAUUUGGUAUGUAGUGACAUCUUAUAAACCUCUACCAAAUUUGUUCAAAUAAUGCCUCUGGGGUCAACUUUGACCCUGCCGCGGGGGAUCACAAAAUUUAAUAAACGCUUAUAAAGCGCCUAUUUUGUGAAAUCUUUAAAAAUCUUGUCGAAAACCAUUCUGACUAUGGCUACCAAAUUUGGUAUGCAGGAACAUCUUAUAGUCAUCUACCAAGUUUGUUACUUUGGGUCAAAUUUGACCCUGACCCGCAGGUCACAAAAUUGAACAUUAUAUACGCUUGUAUCUUGCUUAUUUUAUGAAAACUUAAAAAAUAUUCUUGUCCUUAACUCUACAUCUAAGACUUAGGGCCACCACAUUUUGUAUGGAGUGAGAUAUAGUAGCCCUCUACAAAGUUUGCUAAAAUUAUGCCCCUGGGGUUAAAUUUGACCCAGCCCAGGUGGUCACAAAAUUGUACAUGUGCUUAAAUAGGGCCUAUAUUUAAGUAUCUGCACAUGCGGAGAAUAUUUGUUUCAGUCUUUUUUUCAGCAGUGGAGCGAUACAGGGCCAUCAUGGCCUCUUGUCUUUAAAUACACAUCACACAGUUUUAAAAAUAAUUUUAAAAUACCUAAUACAUAUGCUCAAUUUACAACCAACAACAUGGGUAACAGGUGGGUGGGGUAAUUUAAGAUGUUUAUUUGAACAUCAACAUUGUUUUUACAGUUGUUACAUCUGAAAUAUUUUCAUAACAAUAUACAUUAUAAAUAUUUCUACGUGUAUCACAUUUCAGUUGAUAAUUUGAUUGUUAUGGAGCAGUUAUUAUAUAGAUAUGUUUUAAUUACUAUUACAAUGUUAGUCAUUGUAUUUUUGAAAUUACGUCCAUAUUAAAAUGUCUAUAGCAAAAAAAAAUCCACGGUGACCUAUCAAUUUCUUUACUUCAUUUUAAUGCUUAGCUAGUUGACUUUAAUUAUUGAGAACUUCAAAUGAAUAUGAAUAUUACAUCAACAGAAAUAUGUAUCUGUGUUGCAUGUUAUCUAUUUUGAACUGUGCAAUAAAAAAUUCAAAACAAACAAAAAACUAGUCAUACUUAUUUCUCAUUAUUUUUUACGAUUUCCAUAAUUUUUGGUUUUAAAACUGUUCACUAUGAUAAUACACAUGUUACAGUUGCUAAUCUAAUGCAAUCUCAAUACUAUUAUGCCAUUUUAAAUGUAUUACACAAAAACAUUUUACCGUACCCCCAAAUUUAUGCCCCGCAAAAAUGACCUUUUUUCAAACGCACAUGGCAUUUAAAAACCUUCGUUAUCUCAAAAUUAUUCACGGUGACCUCUCUUUUUUAUUUUAUAUUAAUUUCAGAUACAGAUUCAUUAAUCACCAUACAAAAAAUUAUAGCAUUCCGGAUAUUUUGAAAAUUUUCACAAAACGAUCGAACAUCC
Molecule: long non-coding RNA, 3964 nt
Organism: Dreissena polymorpha
Lineage: Eukaryota; Metazoa; Mollusca; Bivalvia; Myida; Dreissenidae
Exons: 4
Source: RefSeq, a predicted model, not a curated record